UUUCCGUAGGUGAACCUGCGGAAGGAUCAUUAUCGAAAAGCAAUCCGGGGGGGAGGCCCCCGAGCGAAGUUUGGUAGAUCGUAGGGAUUGUCGCUGGCCUUUGGAAACGAAGGCAUGUGCACGUUCCGAGUUCUCCUUAGUCCUCCUUUGCCUUUCCUUUGGAAGACCCUUUCUUCACACCCGUGCACACAUUGUAGGUCUCCGCGAGGGGAUCUAUGUCUUCACAAAACCCUACGUAUGUCCAGGAAUGUAUCUAAAGCGCCGAACGGCUUGGCUCCAUGCCCGGUCGCCGACGGUAAAGAACCAUAAUACAACUUUCAGCAACGGAUCUCUUGGCUCUC
RNAcentral lists this unclassified non-coding RNA (341 nucleotides) under plant metagenome. RNAcentral describes it as "partial contains small subunit ribosomal RNA, internal transcribed spacer 1, and 5.8S ribosomal RNA". The record is from RNAcentral.